GUGCUGUGAGCUCGAUGAGUAGGGCGGGACACGUGGUAUCCUGUCUGAAUAUGGGGGGACCAUCCUCCAAGGCUAAAUACUCCUGACUGACCGAUAGUGAACCAGUACCGUGAGGGAAAGGCGAAAAGAACCCCGGCGAGGGGAGUGAAAAAGAACCUGAAACCGUGUACGUACAAGCAGUGGGAGCACAGGUUUACCUGUGUGACUGCGUACCUUUUGUAUAAUGGGUCAGCGACUUAUAUUCUGUAGCAAGGUUAACCGUAUAGGGGAGCCGAAGGGAAACCGAGUCUUAACCGGGCGUUAAGUUGCAGGGUAUAGACCCGAAACCCGGUGAUCUAGCCAUGGGCAGGUUGAAGGUUGGGUAACACUAACUGGAGGACCGAACCGACUAAUGUUGAAAAAUUAGCGGAUGACCUGUGGCUGGGGGUGAAAGGCCAAUCAAACCGGGAGAUAGCUGGUUCUCCCCGAAAGCUAUUUAGGUAGCGCCUCGUGAAUUCAUCUCCGGGGGUAGAGCACUGUUUCGGCUAGGGGGCCAUCCCGGCUUACCAACCCGAUGCAAACUGCGAAUACCGGAGAAUGUUAUCACGGGAGACACACGGCGGGUGCUAACGUCCGUCGUGAAGAGGGAAACAACCCAGACCGCCAGCUAAGGUCCCAAAGUCAUGGUUAAGUGGGAAACGAUGUGGGAAGGCCCAGACAGCCAGGAUGUUGGCUUAGAAGCAGCCAUCAUUUAAAGAAAGCGUAAUAGCUCACUGGUCGAGUCGGCCUGCGCGGAAGAUGUAACGGGGCUAAACCAUGCACCGAAGCUGCGGCAGCGAACGUAUCACUUAAAGCGAUUCAGCGGGUUACGAUUGACGGAGCGAAGCGACGUCAAAGCGUAUACAAAGUCGAGUCGGUUUAAGGAUACGUUCGUUGGGUAGGGGAGCGUUCUGUAAGCCUGUGAAGGUGUGUCGUGAGGCAUGCUGGAGGUAUCAGAAGUGCGAAUGCUGACAUAAGUAACGAUAAAGCGGGUGAAAAGCCCGCUCGCCGGAAGACCAAGGGUUCCUGUCCAACGUUAAUCGGGGCAGGGUGAGUCGACCCCUAAGGCGAGGCCGAAAGGCGUAGUCGAUGGGAAACGGGUUAAUAUUCCCGUACUUGGUGUUACUGCGAAGGGGGGACGGAGAAGGCUAUGUUGGCCGGGCGACGGUUGUCCCGGUUUAAGCGUGUAGGUGUGUGUUCCAGGUAAAUCCGGUUCACUUUAACACUGAGGCGUGACGACGAGGCACUACGGUGCUGAAGCAACAAAUGCCCUGCUUCCAGGAAAAGCCUCUAAGCAUCAGGUAACAUCAAAUCGUACCCCAAACCGACACAGGUGGUCAGGUAGAGAAUACCAAGGCGCUUGAGAGAACUCGGGUGAAGGAACUAGGCAAAAUGGUGCCGUAACUUCGGGAGAAGGCACGCUGACACGUAGGUGAAGUGAUUUACUCAUGGAGCUGAAGUCAGUCGAAGAUACCAGCUGGCUGCAACUGUUUAUUAAAAACACAGCACUGUGCAAACACGAAAGUGGACGUAUACGGUGUGACGCCUGCCCGGUGCCGGAAGGUUAAUUGAUGGGGUCAGCGCAAGCGAAGCUCCUGAUCGAAGCCCCGGUAAACGGCGGCCGUAACUAUAACGGUCCUAAGGUAGCGAAAUUCCUUGUCGGGUAAGUUCCGACCUGCACGAAUGGCGUAAUGAUGGCCAGGCUGUCUCCACCCGAGACUCAGUGAAAUUGAACUCGCUGUGAAGAUGCAGUGUACCCGCGGCAAGACGGAAAGACCCCGUGAACCUUUACUAUAGCUUGACACUGAACAUUGAGCCUUGAUGUGUAG
This 1847-nucleotide ribosomal RNA is filed under the name Salmonella enterica. RNAcentral describes it as "partial 23S ribosomal RNA". It matches the Rfam family "Bacterial large subunit ribosomal RNA", at positions 394 to 2141 of the family's 2925-position model. Lineage: Bacteria; Pseudomonadati; Pseudomonadota; Gammaproteobacteria; Enterobacterales; Enterobacteriaceae. The record is from RNAcentral.